RNAcentral lists this small RNA (36 nucleotides) under Anaerobutyricum hallii. Its description in RNAcentral is "CRISPR_Spacer". The record is from RNAcentral. Lineage: Bacteria; Bacillati; Bacillota; Clostridia; Lachnospirales; Lachnospiraceae.
GUUAUCAUUUCUUUAAUUGCGUUCAAUGUUUCAGUU